AAUAGUUCCGGGCCUUGUACACACCGCCCGUCAAGCCAUGGAAGUUGGGGGUACCUGAAGUCGAUCACCGCAAGGAGUCGCCUAGGGUAAAACCAAUGACUGGGCU
RNAcentral lists this ribosomal RNA (106 nucleotides) under uncultured bacterium. Its description in RNAcentral is "partial 16S ribosomal RNA". It matches the Rfam family "Bacterial small subunit ribosomal RNA", at positions 1365 to 1482 of the family's 1533-position model. The record is from RNAcentral.